GCCUUGAUCGGAAACCAAGGCACAGAAGAAGGAG
This 34-nucleotide non-coding RNA is filed under the name unclassified sequences. RNAcentral describes it as "L31-Coriobacteria ribosomal protein leader". It matches the Rfam family "L31-Coriobacteria ribosomal protein leader". The record is from RNAcentral.